GAUGAACGCUGGCGGCGUGCUUAACACAUGCAAGUCGAACGGGAAACCUUUUAAUGAAGCUUCGGCAGAUUUAGCUGGUUUCUAGUGGCGGACGGGUGAGUAACGCGUGGGUAACCUGCCUUAUACAGGGGGAUAACAGUCAGAAAUGACUGCUAAUACCGCAUAAGCGCACAGGACCGCAUGGUCCGGUGUGAAAAACUCGGGUGGGAUAAGAUGGACCCGCGUUGGAUUAGCUUGUUGGUGGGGUAACGGCUCACCAAGGCGACGAUCCAUAGCCGGCAUGAGAGAGUGAGCGGACACAUUGAGACUGGGACGCAGCCCAGACUCCUACGGGAGGCAGGAGUGGGGAAUAUAGCACAAUGGGGGGAACGCUGAUGCAGCGACGCCGCGUGAAGGAAGAAGUAUCUCGGUAAGUAAACUUCUAUCAGCAGGGAAGAUAGUGACGGUACCUAACUAAGAAGCCCCGGCUAACUACGUG
RNAcentral lists this ribosomal RNA (478 nucleotides) under uncultured bacterium. RNAcentral's name for it is "partial 16S ribosomal RNA". It matches the Rfam family "Bacterial small subunit ribosomal RNA", at positions 28 to 507 of the family's 1533-position model. The record is from RNAcentral.